GCAAGUAUGUCGUAAUUGGUAGCCGAACAGUUCUUAGGAAACUGUGGUUUAUAACCGUGUGGGUUCAAGUCCCACUACUUGUA
RNAcentral lists this transfer RNA (83 nucleotides) under Microbotryum lychnidis-dioicae. RNAcentral describes it as "tRNA-Leu". It matches the Rfam family "tRNA". Rfam says of the family: Transfer RNA (tRNA) molecules are approximately 80 nucleotides in length. Their secondary structure includes four short double-helical elements and three loops (D, anti-codon, and T loops). The record is from RNAcentral. Lineage: Eukaryota; Fungi; Basidiomycota; Microbotryomycetes; Microbotryales; Microbotryaceae. RNAcentral also lists the same sequence under 1 other name.